This 253-nucleotide ribosomal RNA is filed under the name uncultured bacterium. Its description in RNAcentral is "partial 16S ribosomal RNA". It matches the Rfam family "Bacterial small subunit ribosomal RNA", at positions 524 to 776 of the family's 1533-position model. The record is from RNAcentral.
UACGUAGGAUGCAAGCGUUGUCCGGAAUUAUUGGGCGUAAAGAGCUCGUAGGCGGUUUGUCGCGUCUGCUGUGAAAACGCGAGACUCAACCUCGCGCCUGCAGUGGGUACGGGCAGACUAGAGUGCGGUAGGGGAGAUUGGAAUUCCUGGUGUAGCGGUGGAAUGCGCAGAUAUCAGGAGGAACACCAGCGGCGAAGGCGGCACUCUGGGCUGGAAUUGACGCUGAGGAGCGAAAGCGUGGGGAGCGAACAGG